CCUACGGGUGGCUGCAGUGGGGAAUAUUGCGCAAUGGGCGAAAGCCUGACGCAGCGACGCCGCGUGAGGGAUGAAGGUCUUCGGAUCGUAAACCUCUGUCAGCAGGGAAGAACGGUCACUGUGCUAAUCAGCAGUGAAUUGACGGUACCUGCAAAGGAAGCACCGGCUAACUCCGUGCCAGCAGCCGCGGUAAUACGGAGGGUGCGAGCGUUAAUCGGAUUUACUGGGCGGAAAGCGCUCGUAGGCGGUAUGUCAAGUCAAUGGUGAAAUCCCCGCGCUCAACGUGGGAACUGCCUUUGAAACUGGCAAACUUGAGUGUGGGAGAGGAUAGUGGAAUUCCAGGUGUAGGAGUGAAAGCCGUAGAUAUCUGGAGGAACAUCAGUGGCGAAGGCGACUAUCUGGCACAUAACUGACGCUGAGGAGCGAAAGCGUGGGUAGCAAACAGGAUUAGAUACCCGAGUAGUC
RNAcentral lists this ribosomal RNA (465 nucleotides) under uncultured bacterium. Its description in RNAcentral is "partial 16S ribosomal RNA". It matches the Rfam family "Bacterial small subunit ribosomal RNA", at positions 338 to 795 of the family's 1533-position model. The record is from RNAcentral.